This 472-nucleotide ribosomal RNA is filed under the name uncultured bacterium. RNAcentral's name for it is "bacterial SSU rRNA". It matches the Rfam family "Bacterial small subunit ribosomal RNA", at positions 355 to 825 of the family's 1533-position model. The record is from RNAcentral.
UGGGGAAUAUUGGACAAUGGGGGCAACCCUGAUCCAGCAAUGCCGCGUGUGUGAAGAAGGCCUGCGGGUUGUAAAGCACUUUUGGCAGGGAUGAAAAGCACUGGAUUAAUAACCCAGUGUGUUGACCUAACCUGCAGAAGAAGCACCGGCUAACUCUGUGCCAGCAGCCGCGGUAAUACAGGGGGGUGCGAGCGUUAAUCGGAAUUACUGGGCGUAAAGGGCGCGUAGGCGGUCGAGUAAGUCGGAUGUGAAAUCCCCGGGCUUAACCUGGGAAUUGCAUUCGAUACUGCUUGGCUAGAGUGUGGAAGAGGGAAGCGGAAUUUCCGGUGUAGCGGUGAAAUGCGUAGAUAUCGGAAGGACACCAGUGGCGAAGGCGGCUUCCUGGUCCAACACUGACGCUGAGGCGCGAAAGCGUGGGGAGCAAACAGGAUUAGAUACCCCAGUAGUCCCUGAGCGGGCUGGCAAGGCGCAU